UACGGAGGGUGCGAGCGUUGUCCGGAAUCACUGGGCGUAAAGGGCGCGUAGGCGGCGCGACAAGGCGGCGGUGAAAGUCCGGGGCUCAACCCCGGAUCGGCCGUGGCGACUGUCGCGCUGGAGCACCGUAGAGGCGGGUGGAAUUCCGGGUGUAGCGGUGGAAUGCGUAGAGAUCCGGAAGAACACCGGUGGCGAAGGCGGCCCGCUGGGCGGUGGCUGACGCUGAGGCGCGACAGCGUGGGGAGCAAACAGG
RNAcentral lists this ribosomal RNA (253 nucleotides) under uncultured bacterium. Its description in RNAcentral is "partial 16S ribosomal RNA". It matches the Rfam family "Bacterial small subunit ribosomal RNA", at positions 524 to 776 of the family's 1533-position model. The record is from RNAcentral.